RNAcentral lists this ribosomal RNA (515 nucleotides) under uncultured bacterium. Its description in RNAcentral is "partial 16S ribosomal RNA". It matches the Rfam family "Bacterial small subunit ribosomal RNA", at positions 28 to 523 of the family's 1533-position model. The record is from RNAcentral.
GAUGAACGCUGGCGGCGUGCCUAAUACAUGCAAGUCGAGCGAAUGGAUUAAGAGCUUGCUCUUAUGAAGUUAGCGGCGGACGGGUGAGUAACACGUGGGUAACCUGCCCAUAAGACUGGGAUAACUCCGGGAAACCGGGGCUAAUACCGGAUAACAUUUUGAACCGCAUGGUUCGAAAUUGAAAGGCGGCUUCGGCUGUCACUUAUGGAUGGACCCGCGUCGCAUUAGCUAGUUGGUGAGGUAACGGCUCACCAAGGCAACGAUGCGUAGCCCACCUGAGAGGGUGAUCGGCCACACUGGGACUGAGACACGGCACAGACUCCUACGGGAGGCAGGAGUAGGGAAUCUUCCGCAAUGGACGAAAGUCUGACGGAGCAACGCCGCGUGAGUGAUGAAGGCUUUCGGGUCGUAAAACUCUGUUGUUAGGGAAGAACAAGUGCUAGUUGAAUAAGCUGGCACCUUGACGGUACCUAACCAGAAAGCCACGGCUAACUACGUGCCAGCAGCCGCGGUAA